Molecule: small RNA, 766 nt
Filed under: Sisymbrium officinale
Lineage: Eukaryota; Viridiplantae; Streptophyta; Magnoliopsida; Brassicales; Brassicaceae
Description: eukaryotic LSU rRNA
Rfam family: 5.8S ribosomal RNA (bases 273-428)
Source: RNAcentral
UGCGGAAGGAUCAUUGUCGAUGCCUAAAACAAAACGACCCGAGAACACUCGAUCAUCACUCUCGGUGGGACGGUUUCUUAGCUGAUCCUGUUCCACCGAUUCCGUUGCUUUAAGUAUGGUCCCAAUCUCGGUUGGAUCAUGCAUUUAGCUUCUGGAUAUCACAAAACCCCGGCACGAAAAGUGUCAAGGAAUAUGCAACAAAAACAGUCUGUGUUCGCCUACCCGGAGACGGUGUGUGCGCGGAUGCUGUGCUGCAAUAUAAAGUCUAAAACGACUCUCGGCAACGGAUAUCUCGGCUCUCGCAUCGAUGAAGAACGUAGCGAAAUGCGAUACUUGGUGUGAAUUGCAGAAUCCCGUGAACCAUCGAGUCUUUGAACGCAAGUUGCGCCCCAAGCCUUCUGGCCGAGGGCACGUCUGCCUGGGUGUCACAAAUCGUCGUCCCCCCUAAUCCUCUCGAGGAUACGGGACGGAAGCUGGUCUCCCGUGUGUUACCGCAUGCGGUUGUCCAAAAUCCGAGCAAAGGACGCAAAGAGCGUCCCGACAUGCGGUGGUGAAUACAAACUUCGUCAUAUUGUCGGUCGCUCUUGUCCGGAAGCUCUUAGAUGACCCAAAGUUCUCAACGCGACCCCAGGUCAGGCGGGAUCACCCGCUGAGUUUAAGCAUAUCAAUAAGCGGAGGAAAAGAAACUAACAAGGAUUCCCUUAGUAACGGCGAGCGAACCGGGAAGAGCCCAGCUUGAAAAUCGGACGUCUUCGGCGUUCGAAUU